This 631-nucleotide ribosomal RNA is filed under the name Saccharomyces uvarum. RNAcentral describes it as "partial 26S ribosomal RNA". It matches the Rfam family "Eukaryotic large subunit ribosomal RNA", at positions 28 to 664 of the family's 3401-position model. Lineage: Eukaryota; Fungi; Ascomycota; Saccharomycetes; Saccharomycetales; Saccharomycetaceae. The record is from RNAcentral.
CUUUUGCUGCCUUUUCAAUAGCGGAGGAAAAGAAACCAACCGGGAUUGCCUUAGUAACGGCGAGUGAAGCGGCAAAAGCUCAAAUUUGAAAUCUGGUACCUUUGGUGCCCGAGUUGUAAUUUGGAGAGGGCAACUUUGGGACCGUUCCUUGUCUAUGUUCCUUGGAACAGGACGUCAUAGAGGGUGAGAAUCCCGUGUGGCGAGGAGUGCGGUUCUAUGUAAAGUGCCUUCGAAGAGUCGAGUUGUUUGGGAAUGCAGCUCUAAGUGGGUGGUAAAUUCCAUCUAAAGCUAAAUAUUGGCGAGAGACCGAUAGCGAACAAGUACAGUGAUGGAAAGAUGAAAAGAACUUUGAAAAGAGAGUGAAAAAGUACGUGAAAUUGUUGAAAGGGAAGGGCAUUUGAUCAGACAUGGUGUUUUGCGCCCUCUGCUCCUUGUGGGUGGGGGAAUCUCGCAGUUCACUGGGCCAGCAUCAGUUUUGGUGGCAGGAUAAAUCCGUAGGAAUGUAACUUGCUUCGGGAAGUAUUAUAGCCUAUGGGAAUACUGCCAGCUGGGACUGAGGACUGCGACGUAAGUCAAGGAUGCUGGCAUAAUGGUUAUAUGCCGCCCGUCUUGAAAAAAGAAACCAAAAAAA